This is a non-coding RNA of Spodoptera litura, 978 nucleotides long. NCBI's taxonomy places the organism in Eukaryota, Metazoa, Arthropoda, Insecta, Lepidoptera, Noctuidae. The record is from RefSeq and is a predicted model, not a curated record.
AAGGCUGGGCAAAGUGAAUACCCCGGGCAAAGCGAAUACUCCCCACUACUCCUAAAUUAUUAGUUUGUCAUUCAACACGCCACCGCUGUUAUGUUCGGCCAUCUUGGUUUAGUACGCGGCAAAUUUCAAAGCGAGAGGCCACGUCGCAUUCCGUUCGUGGAGUGAAGAUUUGUGUUUUCGUAGAUAAAAGAUUGAUUUUACGCGAUGGUGAAUAAAUAUAAAAAAAAACUAAGCAAGGGACGUGGGAUGAAAAUGCUAUGCAAACGGCUAUUAAUUUGUGCAAAGCUGGAGAAUCAAUAAAAAGCACAGCUAAAAAGUAUGGUUUGGCUUAUGCAACCUUGUAUAGGCAUGUAAAAACCGGCAUCGCUGCUUCAAAACUUGGGCGAUUCGAACAGUACCCCGAUCAAGGAAGAUCAAAAGCAAAAAUAUGAGAAAAAUAAAGUUAAGAGUGUUACUAAAAGACUGGAUGAUAAGUCAAAAAAUGUUCCAAAGAAGACUAAUACAAAGACUGACAAAGACAAAAAAAAUGCUAAAAAGGUUAAACAGCCAAAGCAAAUGGAAGAAUUUAAGGAUAUUUUAUGCUUUUUCUGCGGUGAAUUAUAUAUUGAAGAAGACGGUAAACCAAUUGAAGAUUGGAUUCAAUGUGACACUUGUCAACAAUGGUGUCACGAAGCUUGUUCAGCUUUUGAUGGCAAUCAGGGUUAUACCUGUGACAAUUGCCAAUCUUAAUUUUUUAAUUUUAUGGUCAAGUUAAUUUUUUUUUUUUUUUUUAUCAAAGUUAUUUCUAUGUUUUCAGAGAUUAAACAUGGGUAUUCACUUUGCCCAAGGACUGUGUUCGCUUUACCCGGGGUACCGGGUAAAGCGAAUACUUUCGUACUUUUUGAAAAUUUAAUUGCAGUUAAUUAUUGUUUAAAUAUUAAUGGUAACUGAUGUUCGUAUUUGUAAGAGCAAUAAAUAAAGACUGAUUUGUGAUACUUA